RNAcentral lists this ribosomal RNA (305 nucleotides) under uncultured bacterium. RNAcentral's name for it is "bacterial SSU rRNA". It matches the Rfam family "Bacterial small subunit ribosomal RNA", at positions 337 to 659 of the family's 1533-position model. The record is from RNAcentral.
UCCUACGGGAGGCAGCAGUGGGGGAUAUUGCCCAGUUGUGGAAACCCUGAUGCAGCGACGCCGCGUGGGUGAAGAAGCGCCUCGGCGCGUAAAGCCCUUUCAGCAGGGAAGAAAAUGACGGUACCUGAAGAAGAAGCCCCGGCUAACUACGUGCCAGCAGCCGCGGUAAUACGUAGGGGGCAAGCGUUAUCCGGAUUUACUGGGUGUAAAGGGGGCGCAGACGGCGAUGCAAGCAAGGAGGGAAAGCCCGGGGCCAAACCCCGGGACUGCUCUUGGAACUGCGUGGCUGGAGUGCAGGAGGGGCG